UACGUAGGUGGCAAGCGUUGUCCGGAUUUACUGGGCGUAAAGAGCGCGCAGGCGGUCGUUCAAGUCGCGUGUGAAAGCCCCCGGCUCAACUGGGGAGGGUCACGCGAUACUGAUCGACUCGAAGGCAGGAGAGGGUAGUGGAAUUCCCGGUGUAGUGGUGAAAUGCGCAGAUAUCAGGAGGAACACCGGUGGCGAAGGCGGAUCUCUGGGCCAUUACUGACGCUGAGGAGCGAAAGCGUGGGGAGCGAACAGG
RNAcentral lists this ribosomal RNA (253 nucleotides) under uncultured bacterium. RNAcentral's name for it is "partial 16S ribosomal RNA". It matches the Rfam family "Bacterial small subunit ribosomal RNA", at positions 524 to 776 of the family's 1533-position model. The record is from RNAcentral.